RNAcentral lists this ribosomal RNA (440 nucleotides) under uncultured bacterium. Its description in RNAcentral is "bacterial SSU rRNA". It matches the Rfam family "Bacterial small subunit ribosomal RNA", at positions 958 to 1399 of the family's 1533-position model. The record is from RNAcentral.
AACGCGAAGAACCUUACCUGGGCUUGACAUUUAGGGAAAAGCCGUAGAGAUACGGUGUCCUUCGGGGUCCUAAACAGGUGGUGCAUGGCUGUCGUCAGCUCGUGUCGUGAGAUGUUGGGUUAAGUCCCGCAACGAGCGCAACCCUUGUCCGAUGUUACCAGCGGGUUAUGCCGGGGACUCAUAGGAGACUGCCGGGGUCAACUCGGAGGAAGGUGGGGAUGACGUCAAGUCCUCAUGCCCCUUAUGUCUUGGGCUGCAAACAUGCUACAAUGGCCGGUACAAAGGGUUGCGAGACCGCAAGGUGGAGCGAAUCCCAAAAAGCCGGUCUCAGUUCGGAUUGGGGUCUGCAACUCGACCCCAUGAAGUCGGAGUCGCUAGUAAUCGCAGAUCAGCAACGCUGCGGUGAAUACGUUCCCGGGCCUUGUACACACCGACUGUAC